Plodia interpunctella (Indianmeal moth) is the source of this 2468-nucleotide long non-coding RNA. RefSeq lists it as uncharacterized. The transcript has 2 exons. NCBI's taxonomy places the organism in Eukaryota, Metazoa, Arthropoda, Insecta, Lepidoptera, Pyralidae. The record is from RefSeq and is a predicted model, not a curated record.
AUGGGUUAAUCAACUUUUACUUGCCUUUGGACAACUGCACUCGGUCCCAGAUUAGUUAAAAGGUAACCAAUACGAAAUUGGUGAAUAUUAUCAUCUAACCAAGAAACUUCAAAAUAAAUCUAUAUACUAGCUUUAAAAAUUAUUUAUUAACUAUAUUUUUUACCAAAAUAUAACGGUUGUCCGAGUGACAAAUGGGUUGUUUUUAUGUUUAAGUCAGUGUCCCUGGACUACUUUUAUGCAUUGAACUCGUCACCGCCGAAAAAAUUUCCUUUAAGACAAUAAAUAUUACAACACAUAACAUACUAUGAAUUUAUUAUGUGUAAGUGAAUCAUAACUAAUAAUUUUUAAAAUCUUUUAAUCUAUCUUUUUUUCUCAAGUUACUCUUGUCCCACAAAAUCGUUACUUUUUGUAAAUCCAUCGGACAACCACUCUUAAAUUACGAUGCUAAUAUGGAGAUGGCGCUGAAUUAGCGAAUACAACACGUGACUCGAUGUAGUUUACGAUGGUAAAGCAGCAAGUUUGAAAUUGCCAACGCCCCCCGCGUUAGUCGGUCAAACUCUAGAGCGCGGAGUGGGUGUGUUUAUUGUGUGUCCCCCGGACCGGCGUAAAUAUUAGAAUGGGGAUGUCUGCAAAAGAAAAAUUAAGACGCUAUAGAGAGAAGUUGAAAGCAGAUCCGGAGAAAUAUGAAGAACGAAAAAUAAAGAAAAGGGAAAGUUAUCAUAAGAAUAAAAGAUUAGUUUCAGAUUUACAGCCAGAAGAAAAAAAAAAGUAGAAGUAUUUGGACACUCAAACAAAAUCAAAGACAACGUAAGAAGGCAAUUGAAAAUAUACUUGCAGAUACACCACCUAGCUCUCCAAUAGUCUUUCAAGAAAUUAACGUACCCCAAGAUUAUAAACGCAAAAUGCACGGAGGAAAUUCAAGCGCAUCAUUUUGGUGGAUCUCGAAACCAAAUCACUUUUCAUACAGUGGUUGUGUACGUGCAUGACAAAGAAAAAACAUACAAAGCCUUAUCAUUUUGCUCCGUUUCACCAUGCAACGUUCAUCAACCAGCUGCAAUCUGGGCCCAUUUACAUCCGAUACUAACAUUGAUUCGCCAAAAUUACCCACAAAUUGACAUUAUUCACUUUUUUUUCGGAUGGGCCAUUCUCGCAAUACCGACAAAAGCUUAAUUUUUUCUUGGCUUGCACCAAGACGUUUGAUUUUGGUUUCCAAUACUUUAAAUGGUCAUAUUUUGAGGCUGGUUAUGGAAAAGGACCUGCUGACGGGAUUGGAGAAUACUUGAAAAGAGCAGCAGACACCAAGGUGGCAACUGGCACAGAUAUAACGAAUGCCUUAGAGUUUUAUACAGUCUUAAAAUAUUCCAGCAAAAUCAAGUUAUAUUAUAUAACUAAAGAAGAUAUCGAUUUUAUACAGAACAGUAUUCCAAAGAUAUAGUCCCACUUAAAGGAACAAAAGAGGUGCACCAAAUUUUUUCGAGAGUAUACGGCCAGUUAAAGUACAGAUAUUUAAGUUGCUUCUGUGCCAGAGGAUUGUGUGAAUGCUUACAUCCUAAAGUGUACUUACCGUUGCCAGAUUUGAUAGAAAAUUCUCACUCUGCUGAAAUCCACUGCAGUGAUGAUGAUGAUAUGCCACUAAUAGCUUUAACUUCUAAAGCCAAAGAAAGAAUUUCAAUAGAAGAUUUCCAGGGGUUUCACCAUGAAAGCGUUUACAAAGCUAUUUACGACUCUUCAGAGAACUCUGAAGAAGAUCGUGACUUUGUACAGCCAGGGCCUUCAAACUCAGGGCAAAGUAGCAAGUUACCUAUAAAAGGCGAUUUCUUACUAGUCAAAGUUCAUGACACCAAAAGGAAAUCGUACCAUACCUAUGCGUGCAUUGCUCAAGAAGAUGAUGGUGAAAUUAGAGUAACAUUUCUGAAAUGCGUUAAAGGAGGAAAACUUUUUGUGAUCAAUAAGAAUGACAUAUCGUACGUAGCUUAUGAAGAUAUUGUACGUAAGUUACUCAUGCCUGAGUUACAAUGUAAGAGAGAUGUAAAUUACUAUAAAUUUCCCUUUGAUGUUAACGUUUUUGAAAAAUAAUUUGAUUGCUAAAUUACGAAUUCAUGAGUAUUAUUAGGUUUAGGUUCAAAUAUUUGUUUUAAGGUUACUAGAUGCAGAUGGUAUGUUAACUUUCGUCGAAAGUAUUGUGUUAAUGAAUGAUUACAUAAAAAUAAUAUUUAGAUAAGAAUUACUGUAAAUGAUGGUGUUCAAAAUAUUUUUAAGACUGACAUAAUAGUUAUAUGGUAUGUUGAUUAUUAGAUUGUAAAAGGGUUGAUAAUAGCCAUGACUGAUUUUAUACGUAGUAUCUUAUACAGCUUAUAAAGCCGUGUAGCUUAAGCAGUCAAAACCAUUUAAGUUUAAGAAACUGAUUAUUUUUGUUAAAUUUUGAUUAAAUUUCUUGGAAAAUUACAAUAUAAUUUUGUUUCGAUGAA